GAAUGUGUGAAUAUAAUUGUACAAACGAGUCGUAUAAAUGAAAGUUAGAAAAACAAACGAAAUAAUACAAGUGGAUGACCGGAUAUACGUAAUGCGUAUAUAGUAUACUUGUAUAAGUAGAGAUGACGUAGCAUGGCUAUGGGUUGCGUUGUUAAUAAUCAUUCCGUUGUUCGAAUUAAUAAGGACUUUCGGUAAUUAUAAAUUCUUCACGUGAAAAGUAAGUAGAAUCGGAAAAAAGUGAGGGGGUAGGGAGCGGCCGGAAUAGAAAGAGAAAGAAAGAAAGAAAGAGAGAGAGAGAGAGAGAGAGAGAGAGAGAGAGAGAGAGAGAGAGAGGGAAAAUGCAGGAGAAGGAGGAGGAGGAGGUUAGUCAAGAAGAAGAGUCACUUACCAGUUGCCGAGCCAGAAGACUUCGUGGACGAUCCAGUGUCGCUCGUCGAACUUACAUUGGAUAAUUGUUUUACAUAAACGACUCCGCUCGGUAGCAACAGAGUGUUCUUUGCUAAGAGACUCGUAGGUGAGGAAGAUUUUACAUCGAUCAUCCUCAUUUUUUCUUGCAAAUCCGUCGCGUCGACCGAACCUGUCUCGUUUUCGUUCUGAGAUAAAUGACGACCAAACAUAAAAAUCAAAAGAAAAUGAAUUCAGGAAGACAAAUAUUAAGUUUAAUCCAUCGUUUUAUUGAGUUCAUUGCUAAGGGUAUAUUUACAUUAGCAGCUUAUAUUGGUGGCCCAGUAGAAUCUCAACCACCUAUAAAAGAUUUGACACUUUUACAUAAUGCAACCACAUUAGCUUUUAAAAUUAGAAAUAAACAAUUAUCUUCCGAAGAAGUAGUAAAGUCAUACAUUGACAGAAUAAAAGAAAUUCAGCCAGUAUUAAAUUGUGUAGUCGAAGAACGUUUUGAAGAAGCACUCAAGGAAGCUAAACAAUGUGAUGAAAUGUUGAAAUCUCCCAAUGCACCAUCUGUACAAGUACUUGCCAAAGAGAAACCUUUCUUCGGUGUUCCCUUUACAACCAAGGAUUGUAUCGCUGUUGCUAAUAUGAAGCAAACAGCUGGUUUGAUUCUUCGUAAAGAUUUUGUCUCUGAGAAAGAUGCAGAGGUGAUAAGACUGAUGAGAGCAGCAGGAGCUAUACCAUUAGCGUCGACCAAUGUCUCAGAACUUGCAAUGUGGUGGGAAGCACAUAACCGUUUGUAUGGUACCACCAGAAAUCCAUACAACACAAGACAUAUAGUAGGUGGUUCUUCUGGGGGUGAGGGCUGCAUACAAGCAGCAGCUGGUUCACCAUUAGGAAUAGGAUCAGAUAUCGGUGGCUCUAUUCGCAUGCCAUGCUUUUUCAAUGGAAUUUUUGGUCAUAAACCUUCCAAAGGCAUUGUUUCAAACGAUGGUCAAUAUCCAAGUGCCCAUAGCGAGGAUCAGAAUCAAUUACUUGCAAUAGGUCCUAUGUGUAGACAUGCACAGGAUAUGAAACCUAUUCUUAAAAUACUUGCUGAUAAGAAUGCAGAAAUAUUGAAUUUAGAUGAUAAAGUUGAUAUUUCAAAGAUCAAGUUUUAUUACAUGGAGGACGACGGAGGGCAAUACUUUGUGUCCCCUGUAGAUCAAGAAAUAAAAUGCGCUAUGAGAAAAGUGUUGCUUCAUUUUGAAAAAGCAUAUAAAAUAAAAGCUACGAAAAUACAUGUGCGAAAAUUUAAAAAAAGCAUUGCUCUAUGGUUAGCGAAUAUGACGUCUAAAGAUAACAAAGAUUUUUCGUAUGAAUUAUCCAAUCGGAACGGAAAUAUAAAUAUUUUAUGGGAAUUUGUGAAGUGGUUAAUGUUCCUAAGUAAUCAUACAUUAAUUGCUCUUCUAACUGCAACAUUUGAGAGGUUUGGUAUAAAACAUGGGAGUGAGCAAUACACAAAACUUAUACAAGAAAGUAAAGACCUUUACCAAGAAUUCAAGGAUAUUUUGGGAGAAGAUGGUGUUUUCUUGUAUCCGACUCAUCCCACGGCAGCGCCAUUACAUCACGAACCACUUAUAAAAGCAUUUAAUUUUUCGUACACUGCAAUUAUUAAUGUUCUGGGCUUGCCAGCUACAGCUUGCCCGUUAGGAUUAAAUAAGCAAGGACUUCCUAUUGGCAUACAGAUUGUUGGUGGUUUAAAUCAAGACCGUUUAACGCUUGCCGUUGCUGAGGAAAUUGAAAAAGGAUUUGGAGGUUGGGUUCCUCCAGUUAUCGUAGCUUAAAAGUAUGGGUAUUUUAGACAAUAAUAAUGGAGAAUGCAUUGAAAUGCAUUAACAUACCAAAUCCUGCCUUUCUCAGCUCUUGAACAAUUCAAAUCUUCACAAGGAAAGAUAUCUGUGCAUUAAAGUCGCUAGAAGAAAGCUGCCAAUUCAGCUUCCUUCAUUGCUGAAUGAAUGACUGGCUCGGCCCAAAGACCAGGAUUAAAGGAUGGCCCAGUGCCCCCUAAUUCGGCAGGAAGUUAUACUAAAGAAUAACUCGAAACUCACCUUAUUACGAGUCUUUUCAUCCAGAAAAGGUUUAACAAGAGCCAAAGUAGCUUGAACGUAUAAAGGAGCCGAAAGGAAGUGUAUAGCCUUGAAUCUGGCCGGAAAUCGACCACGAAGCGCAGCUAUCAAGUUUCGAAGAGCUGCUGCACCUAAUGCACCGCCUUGCCGCAGAGAAAAUCCACUCCAAUCUACCACAGCAACGAAACCGGAUUGCUCGAACGAACCUGGUUUCUUGGAUCUUGAAUUAGAAUUUCAAGGACUAAAAAAAUAGCUCGUUGAACUGAUAACGCUGGCACUGCAAUAGGAUCCCAUUGUGAAGCUAGGAUUACUAAAACACACCUGCCUUUCCUAAAAAAGACAUUAUCUUUAGAUUAUGAUAUUCUUAUCUAGAUUAACAUAUUCUUAUGUAUUUUAUCGUUCAACAUGCUAAAUGCCAUACCCCGAUUUUUUACAAAUCAAUGCACUCCUCAUUAUCAUAAUUAUUACAGUAGACUUUAUUUUAUUAGCCUUUAAAGCAUCACUGAUUAGAUCUCAAAUUAAAAAUCCUUCACGGCAUUCAACGUAUUAAACGAUAGAUCUUAACGAAUCGGAUCGAUUUAAAUCUCUCGAUCUUACCUGUCGCGAGCAGGUAAAACACCGGGUAUACCAGCACGUAAAGCUCGUUGCAAGGCAGGAUCACGAGCAGUAAGAUUACCGAAAAUAUCCUGUCGAUGAGCUAUCUGAGCUUGAUAAGCAGCUAUCAGAGCAGCUGCUUGCUCGGCCCGAUACUUCCGUGCGAGCAGGAAGCGCGUAAUAUAUUCGUCCGUGCAAUGUUUCA
This is an RNA transcript of Vespa velutina, 3294 nucleotides long. It is a transcript of the gene named fatty-acid amide hydrolase 2, with no coding region annotated. The transcript is spliced from 12 exons. Lineage: Eukaryota; Metazoa; Arthropoda; Insecta; Hymenoptera; Vespidae. The record is from RefSeq and is a predicted model, not a curated record.